RNAcentral lists this ribosomal RNA (308 nucleotides) under uncultured bacterium. RNAcentral describes it as "bacterial SSU rRNA". It matches the Rfam family "Bacterial small subunit ribosomal RNA", at positions 28 to 334 of the family's 1533-position model. The record is from RNAcentral.
GAUGAACGCUAGCGGCAGGCCUAACACAUGCAAGUCGAGGGGUAACAGGAAAGCUUGCUUUCGCUGACGACCGGCGCACGGGUGCGUAACGCGUAUGCAACCUACCUCAUACUGGAGGAUAGCCCCUGGAAACGGGGAUUAAUACUCCAUAGUAUCACGAAUUCGCAUGUUUUUGUGAUUAAAGUUUUUCGGUAUGAGAUGGGCAUGCGUCCCAUUAGCUUGUUGGUGAGGUAACGGCUCACCAAGGCAACGAUCUCUAGCUGGUCUGAGAGGAUGAUCAGCCACACUGGGACUGAGACACGGCCCAG